This 714-nucleotide ribosomal RNA is filed under the name Triticum aestivum (bread wheat). RNAcentral's name for it is "partial small subunit ribosomal RNA". Lineage: Eukaryota; Viridiplantae; Streptophyta; Magnoliopsida; Poales; Poaceae. The record is from RNAcentral.
AUGGAUAGGCAAGGCAUUUCAUCUCCGGUCUAUGACAACAACGAUGGCGUGAACAACUACAUCAACAAAGCGUCCAUCUUCGAUCUACAACGACAAAUACAAGGCGCACAAUCAAGAUUGCGAGAGCGCAUCGAGAACAUCUCCAUCGACAUUCUUCACUCCGAAGCAAGGAAAAGGGACUACAUCAACAAGAAGCUUUCCGCACCUAAAGAGGAGCAAGAUGCAAGGAUGGAGGAGAUUAGAGCCUUGAUCAAGUCUUCUUCCCCUUCGUCAUCUUCAAGGAGGCGACAUUCAAGACACAAGUCUUCGGAGCGCGAAAGCAAUGCAAGUGCAAAUCGUCCUCGUCCACAUCUACAUGGCGACCACCAUCACGUUCAUGAUCAACAUCGCCAUGAGGGGCAAGUCACCUCCAAGCAUCAUGUGCACGACGACGACGAACAACAUAUACUACGAGCUCAAGCACGACAACGACAUCAUCAUCAUGAAGAUGCUCCACAAGCGCAAGUGCACAAGUCCCAACAAGCCCUACUUCACGCCAAGUCGAAGCUUCAUGAGCAAAAGAGAAGACCGCGGGACGAGCACCACCAAGACGGAGCUACGGCUACCACCACCACUUCGGCAUCUUCGCCCAAGUGCUAUCAAGGCAUCUUCGCCUUUGGACAUACGACAUCUUCGCCUACUUCCAAUGAGUACACCUACAUCAACUUCAUCUAG